RNAcentral lists this ribosomal RNA (253 nucleotides) under uncultured bacterium. Its description in RNAcentral is "partial 16S ribosomal RNA". It matches the Rfam family "Bacterial small subunit ribosomal RNA", at positions 524 to 776 of the family's 1533-position model. The record is from RNAcentral.
UACGUAGGGUGCGAGCGUUAAUCGGAAUUACUGGGCGUAAAGGGCUCGUAGGCGGCCAACUAAGUCAGACGUGAAAUCCCUAGGCUCAACCUAGGAACUGCGUCUGAUACUGGAUGGCUUGGAUUUGGGAGAGGGAUGCGGAAUUCCAGGUGUAGCGGUGAAAUGCGUAGAUAUCUGGAGGAACACCGAUGGCGAAGGCGGCAUCCUGGACCAAUAUUGACGCUGAGGAGCGAAAGCCAGGGGAGCAAACGGG